UUGCAUCGAUGAAGAACGCAGCUAAUUGCGCGUCAACAUGUGAACUGCAGGACACAUGAACAUCGACAUUUUGAACGCACAUUGCGGUCCUCGGAUACUGUUCCUGGACCACUCCUAGCUGAGGGUUGUAUCAUUUUCAAAGACUGCUCGGUUUCUUUAUCAUUAUCGGUUUAUCUAUGUAAUAAUAGAGAUAAUGAAAAUGGGAAUGUCGGAGCGUGUUGAGUGUUUAAACGUGUAUGCAGCAAGCCCAGCAACUUAUUUUUUUUUAAGUUGUAUGAUGUUGCAAUACGCGGCAUUCAAAAUAGUUAUGACUGAGAAAUUUAUUCAUUGUGACGAUGUUUUUAUAAUAUCGUGUCAAAGAAGAAAAUUUUCUUAUUCAGAAUUUAUUUGUAUAUGUGUAUUUUUAAUAUAUGUAUAUAAAUUUAAAGAUGAUAAAUUUAUUUAUGUUUUAAAUAAUGCAACCUCAGAUUAGGUGAGACUACCCGCUGAAUUUAAGCAUAUUAAUAAGGCGGAGGAAAAAAACAA
RNAcentral lists this ribosomal RNA (525 nucleotides) under Epicauta aptera. Its description in RNAcentral is "eukaryotic LSU rRNA". The stretch from base 1 to 128 matches the Rfam family "5.8S ribosomal RNA", at positions 28 to 154 of the family's 154-position model. The record is from RNAcentral. Lineage: Eukaryota; Metazoa; Arthropoda; Insecta; Coleoptera; Meloidae.